AUGGGUGGCAAGUGUAAGGGCAGCCCUGUGGGGUGUUUCCUGCUCGCCGGGCUUCUGCUGGUGGCCGGACGGGAACUGAAGCAAGAGGAAGAAGACUGCAUAGACAAAUGCCUGGCAGAAAGCCCCGAGGAGGACUUCCCCCAGUGCUUUGCGCUGUGCCCGCACAGUGCUGUGGAGGAGAGCGGCGGCGGAAACAACGGCCGUACAACGGACUGCGUGGGCUGCUGCCGGGAGCACGAAGGCGAUGAUAGCGAGAGGAAGCGGUGCAUGAUAACCUGCAGCUGGAACCGCCUUGUGGAGGAGAGCGGCACCAGAAACAUCGUCCGUACGAUGGACUGCGCGGCCCACUGCGUGAGGUACGAAGGCGAUGAGAGGGCUGCGUAA
Molecule: ribosomal RNA, 384 nt
Filed under: Triticum aestivum (bread wheat)
Lineage: Eukaryota; Viridiplantae; Streptophyta; Magnoliopsida; Poales; Poaceae
Description: partial small subunit ribosomal RNA
Source: RNAcentral